AACGCGAAGAACCUUACCUGGGCUAGAAGUGUAGAGGACGAUAUCAGAGAUGAUAUUUCCCGUAAGGGUCUCUACAUAGGUGCUGCAUGGCUGUCGUCAGCUCGUGCCGUGAGGUGUUUGGUUAAGUCCAGCAACGAGCGCAACCCUUAUCGUUAGUUGCCAGCGAGUAAUGUCGGGAACUCUAACGAGACUGCCUGGGUUAACCAGGAGGAAGGUGAGGAUGACGUCAAGUCCGCAUGGCCUUUAUGUCCAGGGCUACACACGUGCUACAAUGGUCGGUACAGAAGGCAGCGAAUCCGCAAGGUGGAGCAAAUCCUGAAAAACCGAUCCCAGUUCAGAUUGUAGUCUGCAACUCGACUACAUGAAGUUGGAAUUGCUAGUAAUGGCGUGUCAGCAACAACGCCGUGAAUACGUUCCCGGGCCUUGUA
Molecule: ribosomal RNA, 428 nt
Filed under: uncultured Chlamydiae bacterium
Lineage: Bacteria; Pseudomonadati; Chlamydiota; Chlamydiia
Description: bacterial SSU rRNA
Rfam family: Bacterial small subunit ribosomal RNA
Source: RNAcentral